GCCAGCCUCACCACCCAUCAAAACUCCUUAGCUCUUCUGAUCUGAGGAGCCAAGCAGAGUCAGGUGGUUAGUACUUGGGUGAGAGUUUCUGGGGCUUUUCAUCAAGGCAGGAC
This 113-nucleotide ribosomal RNA is filed under the name Canis lupus dingo (dingo). The record is from RNAcentral. Lineage: Eukaryota; Metazoa; Chordata; Mammalia; Carnivora; Canidae.